GGUUUCUUUCUAACCCUGAAAUAGUUGUUAUGAAGAACUAUAUGUAGUAUAGCAAUGUGACAUGAGUCUCCUCCUCCUUGCUGCAGAGGUGGCUACAUGGCGUAAAACGGUUUGAUUGCAAGUGGGAACAUCCGACCAAAGACGUGUCCACACUGAGCACUCAGUUACAACGUCUCACCUCUGUGAACAUGGACAAACUUGCUGCUGUUUUGUUCUUCUCGACCCUCGUAGGUAACACCUUGGAAGAUGAUAUUACUGCCAGCACUGCUGAAGUUCUUUCAUCAGAGGGCUUCAGUGUUUUCCUGUCCUGUGACUACUCCAUUAAAGCCAAUAAUCUCCAGUGGUAUCGACAGUAUCCGGGGUCAUCUCCUCAGUUCCUUCUCCUGAUCACUGAUACUACACAGCCGUCAGUGGUGAAAGCACAACCUCCACACCCUGGGAUGACUGCUGAACUGAAUAAGGAAAGAAAUAGAGUCCAUCUGAACAUCUCGUCUGCUGCAGUGUCAGACUCUGCUGUGUACUACUGUGCUGUGACGCCCACAGUGACAGGAAACACCAAAACCCUGUACAAGAACCUUUGGAGCAAAGACAACACUGCACACCAUCCACCAGAGGGAGUCUCGCUCUGAAUAACCUCAGCAGGAUGUGUUGAUAUUGUCUGUAUUAUUUAUAAUGGUGAAAAACACAAAGAUAAUCACAAGGAAAAAGUCUGA
Molecule: non-coding RNA, 713 nt
Organism: Pungitius pungitius (ninespine stickleback)
Lineage: Eukaryota; Metazoa; Chordata; Actinopteri; Perciformes; Gasterosteidae
Source: the annotation of a RefSeq genome assembly